This 253-nucleotide ribosomal RNA is filed under the name uncultured bacterium. RNAcentral's name for it is "partial 16S ribosomal RNA". It matches the Rfam family "Bacterial small subunit ribosomal RNA", at positions 524 to 776 of the family's 1533-position model. The record is from RNAcentral.
UACGAAGGGGGCUAGCGUUGCUCGGAAUCACUGGGCGUAAAGGGUGCGUAGGCGGGUUUUUAAGUCAGGGGUGAAAUCCUGGAGCUCAACUCCAGAACUGCCUUUGAUACUGAAGAUCUUGAGUCCGGGAGAGGUGAGUGUAACUGCGAGUGUAGAGGUGAAAUUCGUAGAUAUUCGCAAGAACACCAGUGGCGAAGGCGGCUCACUGGCCCGGUACUGACGCUGAGGCACGAAGGUCAGGGGAGCAAACGGG